AGUGAACGCUGGCGGUAGGCCUAACACAUGCAAGUCGAACGGCAGCACAGUAAGAGCUGGCUCUUACGGGUGGCGAGUGGCGGACGGGUGAGGAAUGCAUCGGAUUCUACUUGUUCGUUGGUGAUAACGUAGGAAAACUUACGCUAAUACCGCAUAUGUCGUACGGGUGAAAGCAGGGGAUCUUCGGACUUUUCGCGAUUGAUUGAGCCGAUGUCGGAUUAGCUAGUUGGCGAGGUAAAGGCGCACCAAGGCGAAGAUCCGUAGCUGGUCUGAGAGGAUGAUCCGCCACACUGGAACUGAGACACGGUCCAGACUCCUACGGGAGGCAGCAGUGGGGAAUCUUGCGCAAUGGGCGAAAGCCUGAUCCAGCCAUACCGCGUGAGUGAAGAAGGCCUUCGGGUUGUAAAACCCUUUUGUUCGGAAAGAAAAACAGCACGUUAAUCCCCCGCUGUUCUGACGGUACCCAAAGAAUAAGCCCCGGCUAACUUCGUG
This 492-nucleotide ribosomal RNA is filed under the name uncultured bacterium. RNAcentral's name for it is "partial 16S ribosomal RNA". It matches the Rfam family "Bacterial small subunit ribosomal RNA", at positions 29 to 507 of the family's 1533-position model. The record is from RNAcentral.